This 253-nucleotide ribosomal RNA is filed under the name uncultured bacterium. Its description in RNAcentral is "partial 16S ribosomal RNA". It matches the Rfam family "Bacterial small subunit ribosomal RNA", at positions 524 to 776 of the family's 1533-position model. The record is from RNAcentral.
UACGUAGGGUGCAAGCGUUGUCCGGAAUUAUUGGGCGUAAAGAGCUCGUAGGCGGUUUGUCACGUCUGCUGUGAAAACGCGAGGCUCAACCUCGCGCCUGCAGUGGGUACGGGCAGACUAGAGUGCGGUAGGGGAGAUUGGAAUUCCUGGUGUAGCGGUGGAAUGCGCAGAUAUCAGGAGGAACACCGAUGGCGAAGGCAGAUCUCUGGGCCGUAACUGACGCUGAGGAGCGAAAGCAUGGGGAGCGAACAGG